UUUUUUUUUUUUUUUUUAAAUCUUCUUGAUACAUUAGAGUAUAGAUGCAAGAUACAUGAACAAAAUGACAAAUGUUGUGAGAGAGGAGGAGAAGGAAAUUCAAAGACGUACAUGGUCGUCCACUUCCUGCGAAGUGCAUCAAAACGAAUUUCUACAAGGAAUUUCCGACGCUAAUAUAUAAAGAAAAUUGUGAUCAGGUUUGAGUUUUAGAGAAAGACUGACGAACGGAAAAGAUUUGAUGCCCCAUGCACGUCUUCGUGUAAGCAGAGGGGGAAAAAAAAAAGGACAAGUCAAUUCUAAACCGUGUGGUUCAUCGCGCUUCAUACUUUGUCGUGUUGAGCCGAAUAUAGAGUCGUAAGUAAAGUGCUUUGCAAAGUUUAUGAACUAGUUAAAAUCGUGUCUGACAGACUGACGGAUGGAUGAAAUGUACAGGCGUUGGUACUAUAAAGAACCCUCACGGUCCUGACCGCUAUGUGGUACUUCAUCUAUAACUGGUGUCGUCUUAAUGGGAAUGAACAAUACUGGAUGGGAGCGGGAUUGACAAUGAGAUUAUUGUAUAUAAUCUUUCCCUCUUACCUGCGUUUCCUCCAGUGACAACAACGACCAUACCAGAUCUCAGUGUUUCCCGGGGGAAAGAGGGGGAUCCUCCCAUUUUUGAAAAUUGCUGUCAACUUCAACGGAAACUUCCAAGUUUGAACGAAAUAACUGUGUUGUUUAAACAGCUACCACAUAAAUGAGGAACAUUACAUCCGGUUUCAGUGGAAAGUUAGUCAUGAGGGGAUAUUUAUCACAUAACGGACACUAUAUAUAUGUCAUUUUCAAUAUUAAUACCUCCAGUACUUCAAGUAUUGUGCAAACCAAACAGAAAGUAGAAAUAUAUCUAAGAGGUGAUUUUAAA
Long non-coding RNA from Ostrea edulis (European flat oyster), 898 nucleotides. RefSeq lists it as uncharacterized. Lineage: Eukaryota; Metazoa; Mollusca; Bivalvia; Ostreida; Ostreidae. The transcript is spliced from 2 exons. The record is from RefSeq and is a predicted model, not a curated record.